GUUGUAUGGUUAAGUGACUAAGCGUACACGGUGGAUGCCUUGGCAGUCAGAGGCGAUGAAAGACGUAGUAACUUGCGAUAAGCCCAGAUUAGGUAGUAACAACCAUUUGAGUCUGGGAUUUCUGAAUGGGGAAACCCACGUGCAUAAGCACGUAUCCUUACCUGAAUACAUAGGGUAAGGAGGCGAACCGGGGGAACUGAAACAUCUAAGUACCCCGAGGAAAAGAAAUCAACCGAGAUUCCGAAAGUAGCGGCGAGCGAAAUUGGACUAGCCCUUAAGCUUUACACGCGUUAGACGAACGGUCUGGAAAGUCCGACGAUACAGGGUGAUAGUCCCGUAGUUGACGACGUGUGUUCAGUGAAAUCGAGUAGGGCGGGACACGUGAUAUCCUGUCUGAAUAUGGGGGGACCAUCCUCCAAGGCUAAAUACUACUGACUGACCGAUAGUGAACCAGUACCGUGAGGGAAAGGCGAAAAGAACCCCUGUGAGGGGAGUGAAAUAGAACCUGAAACCGUGUACGUACAAGCAGUAGGAGCAGGCUUUGUCCUGUGACUGCGUACCUUUUGUAUAAUGGGUCAGCGACUUAUAUUCAGUGGCAAGGUUAACCAUCUAGGGGAGCCGUAGGGAAACCGAGUCUUAACUGGGCGUUCAGUCUCUGGAUAUAGACCCGAAACCAGGUGAUCUAGCCAUGGGCAGGUUGAAGGUUGAGUAACAUCAACUGGAGGACCGAACCGACUAAUGUUGAAAAAUUAGCGGAUGACUUGUGGCUAGGGGUGAAAGGCCAAUCAAACCUGGAGAUAGCUGGUUCUCCCCGAAAGCUAUUUAGGUAGCGCCUCGGACGAAUACUACUGGGGGUAGAGCACUGUUAAGGCUAGGGGGUCAUCCCGACUUACCAACCCUUUGCAAACUCCGAAUACCAGUAAGUACUAUCCGGGAGACACACGGCGGGUGCUAACGUCCGUCGUGGAGAGGGAAACAACCCAGACCGCCAGCUAAGGUCCCAAAUUACUACUAAGUGGGAAACGAUGUGGGAAGGCUCAGACAGCCAGGAUGUUGGCUUAGAAGCAGCCAUCAUUUAAAGAAAGCGUAAUAGCUCACUGGUCGAGUCGGCCUGCGCGGAAGAUGUAACGGGGCUAAGUAGUAAACCGAAGCUGCGGCAAUAUACUUUUGUAUAUUGGGUAGGGGAGCGUUCUGUAAGCGGUUGAAGGUGUGUGGUAACGCAUGCUGGACGUAUCAGAAGUGCGAAUGCUGACAUGAGUAACGAUAAAGGGGGUGAAAAACCUCCUCGCCGGAAGACCAAGGGUUCCUGUCCAACGUUAAUCGGGGCAGGGUAAGUCGACCCCUAAGGCGAGGCCGAAAGGCGUAGUCGAUGGGAAACGGGUUAAUAUUCCCGUACUUCUUACAAUUGCGAUGGGGGGACGGAGAAGGCUAGGUGGGCCUGGCGACGGUUGUCCAGGUUCAAGUGCGUAGGCUUAAGAGUUAGGUAAAUCCGGCUCUUUUUAAGGCUGAGACACGACGUCGAGCACCUAAGGGUGUGAAGUCAUUGAUGCCAUGCUUCCAGGAAAAGCCUCUAAGCUUCAGAUUGUAAGGAAUCGUACCCCAAACCGACACAGGUGGUCGGGUAGAGAAUACCAAGGCGCUUGAGAGAACUCGGGUGAAGGAACUAGGCAAAAUGGUACCGUAACUUCGGGAGAAGGUACGCUCUCGACGGUGAAGUCCCUCGCGGAUGGAGCUAUUGAGAGUCGCAGAUACCAGGUGGCUGCAACUGUUUAUUAAAAACACAGCACUGUGCAAAAUCGUAAGAUGACGUAUACGGUGUGACGCCUGCCCGGUGCCGGAAGGUUAAUUGAUGGGGUUAGACUUCGGUCGAAGCUCUUGAUCGAAGCCCCGGUAAACGGCGGCCGUAACUAUAACGGUCCUAAGGUAGCGAAAUUCCUUGUCGGGUAAGUUCCGACCUGCACGAAUGGCGUAAUGAUGGCCACGCUGUCUCCACCCGAGACUCAGUGAAAUUGAAAUCGCUGUGAAGAUGCAGUGUACCCGCGGCUAGACGGAAAGACCCCGUGAACCUUUACUACAGCUUGGCACUGAACAUUGACCCUACAUGUGUAGGAUAGGUGGGAGGCUUUGAAGCA
RNAcentral lists this ribosomal RNA (2132 nucleotides) under Vibrio parahaemolyticus. RNAcentral describes it as "bacterial LSU rRNA". It matches the Rfam family "Bacterial large subunit ribosomal RNA", at positions 1 to 2164 of the family's 2925-position model. The record is from RNAcentral. Lineage: Bacteria; Pseudomonadati; Pseudomonadota; Gammaproteobacteria; Vibrionales; Vibrionaceae.